This 880-nucleotide long non-coding RNA is filed under the name Zea mays. Its description in RNAcentral is "long non-coding RNA (ZMAY_LNC004213)". The record is from RNAcentral. Lineage: Eukaryota; Viridiplantae; Streptophyta; Magnoliopsida; Poales; Poaceae.
UGGUAAGUCUCGCCUCUGCCCAACUGAGCUCCGCUCCGCUCCUUUCUUCGGAUAUUCCUCUCUUCGUCCUAUCGUGUUAAUCUCGACCGUAAUGUUCAGCAUUUGCCCUGUAGAUUGAAUACACGAGCUUAAAUACCAGGAUUAUUAUGCGUGAAACCUAAAAUUCUGAGUUUAUUCUGUGGUUGAAGUGCCCCCAGAUUUAGUUUUUAAGAUUUGUUGGAUUCCUUUUUUGUGGUAUGUAAACAGCCGUACUGCAGGCAGUGGCGGAGGACAAAAUAAUAAUAAGGUAUGGCUGAAGAAGGAAAAAAAAAAGAGAAAAACAUGAUGCAACACAUAGGACUUGAACCUGGAACCUGUUGAUUACAGGUAGUAUGAACUUACCACUACACCAAACAUGAUUUUUAGGUAUGUCUCAAGCCAUAGACCAUAAUGGGUGCUCCGCCACUGACUGCAGGUCGGGUUACCUCUAUUUCUUUUGCUAGAUGCCGUUAAGGAAACAGGUCCUCGUGGAUCGUCAGUUGACCAUUAUAUAACCGGUAGGAGUAGUUGUUCUUGGUCAGAACGGGGUAGCUGCUACCGCCACCCACCUCACGAAUUACCCGCUGGAUCACAACUCCGUCUUUGGAGGUGCCGUCUUCGUUCUUCUUCCCAGACGUUCAGAAGAAUCAGAACCUAGCUCCUUGGUACCACUUGUUAGAACCUCACCGGAUUGACAAUACUCAGGUUGUCGGCGAGAUCGCGACCAACAGAUGCUCACACGAACAUGAAGAACACAAUCUCGUUCUUGUGCUGCAGAAAUUGGCAGCGUUUCCGUUGUCUAUUGCUUUGCUUAUAUAGAAGAUUGCAAGGAAACAAAUCAGGGCCUCUCGGUCAUGCGGAC